GAGGAUGUAGCUCAGUUGGUUAGAGCGCCAGGUUGUGGCCCUGGAGGUCGUGGGUUCGAUUCCCAUCAUCCUCCCCU
RNAcentral lists this transfer RNA (77 nucleotides) under Planctomycetota bacterium. RNAcentral's name for it is "tRNA-His". It matches the Rfam family "tRNA". From Rfam's summary of the family: Transfer RNA (tRNA) molecules are approximately 80 nucleotides in length. Their secondary structure includes four short double-helical elements and three loops (D, anti-codon, and T loops). Lineage: Bacteria; Pseudomonadati; Planctomycetota. The record is from RNAcentral.